ACACUCCUACGGGAGGCAGCAGUGGGGAAUUUUGGACAAUGGGCGAAAGCCUGAUCCAGCAAUGCCGCGUGAGUGAAGAAGGCCUUCGGGUUGUAAAGCUCUUUUGUCAGGGAAGAAACGGUGAGAGCUAAUAUCUCUUGCUAAUGACGGUACCUGAAGAAUAAGCACCGGCUAACUACGUGCCAGCAGCCGCGGUAAUACGUAGGGUGCAAGCGUUAAUCGGAUUUACUGGGCGUAAAGCGUGCGCAGGCGGUUUUGUAAGUCUGAUGUGAAAUCCCCGGGCUCAACCUGGGAAUUGCAUUGGAGACUGCAAGGCUAGAAUCUGGCAGAGGGGGGUAGAAUUCCACGUGUAGCAGUGAAAUGCGUAGAUAUGUGGAGGAACACCGAUGGCGAAGGCAGCCCCCUGGGUCAAGAUUGACGCUCAUGCACGAAAGCGUGGGGAGCAAACAGGAUUAGAUACCCCGGUAGUCCCA
This 473-nucleotide ribosomal RNA is filed under the name uncultured organism. RNAcentral describes it as "partial 16S ribosomal RNA". It matches the Rfam family "Bacterial small subunit ribosomal RNA", at positions 333 to 797 of the family's 1533-position model. The record is from RNAcentral.